Molecule: ribosomal RNA, 403 nt
Filed under: uncultured bacterium
Lineage: Bacteria
Description: partial 16S ribosomal RNA
Rfam family: Bacterial small subunit ribosomal RNA
Source: RNAcentral
GACGAACGCUGGCGGCGUGCCUAAUACAUGCAAGUCGAACGCAGUGGGGACGGGUGAGUAACACGUGGGUAACCUCCCCUCAGAGGUGAUAACCCUUGGAAACAUGUGCUAAACCGAUACUGAUGGAUGGACCCGCGGUGCAUUAGCUAGUGGGUGAGGUAACGGCUCACCAAGGCCACGAUGCAUAGCCGACCGGAGAGGAUGAUCGGCCACACUGGGACUGAGACACGGUCCAGACUCCUACGGGAGGCAGCAGUGGGGAAUAUUGCACAAUGGGCGAAAGCCUGAUACAGCCAUGCCGCGUGUAUGAAGAAGGCCUUCGGGUUGUAAAGUACUUUAAGCGGGGAGGCGUUACCCGCAGAAGAAGCACCGGCUAACUCCGUGCCAGCAGCCGCGGUAAUUC